UACGAAGGGGGCUAGCGGUGUUCGGAAUCACUGGGCGUAAAGCGCACGUAGGCGGCUUGUUAAGUCAGGGGUGAAAUCCUGGAGCUCAACUCCAGAACUGCCCUUGAUACUGGCAAGCUGGAGUGUAGGAGAGGUUGGUGGAACUGCGAGUGUAGAGGUGAAAUUCGUAGAUAUUCGCAAGAACACCAGUGGCGAAGGCGGCCAACUGGCCUACUACUGACGCUGAGGUGCGAAAGCGUGGGGAGCAAACAGG
This 253-nucleotide ribosomal RNA is filed under the name uncultured bacterium. Its description in RNAcentral is "partial 16S ribosomal RNA". It matches the Rfam family "Bacterial small subunit ribosomal RNA", at positions 524 to 776 of the family's 1533-position model. The record is from RNAcentral.